RNAcentral lists this long non-coding RNA (203 nucleotides) under Musa acuminata (dwarf banana). RNAcentral's name for it is "long non-coding RNA (MACU_LNC011293)". The record is from RNAcentral. Lineage: Eukaryota; Viridiplantae; Streptophyta; Magnoliopsida; Zingiberales; Musaceae.
CCCAACCUUUAGCCAUGCCUACCUCUCACUCUCCUCAACUGUAAUCGCACUCCUUAUCUUUCAUCAUAUUCACCAUUCCUCUCCUCAACGACUACUAUCGGUUCAUUUACAACCUCCUUUUUUCUUUUUUUUUUCUCAGUUAAUCUCACAAUCUCACCUCCCCCUCUCCUCAGCCAUCGCCUCAUUUGUUAGGAACGAGUCAG